Drosophila sulfurigaster albostrigata is the source of this 417-nucleotide long non-coding RNA. RefSeq lists it as uncharacterized. Lineage: Eukaryota; Metazoa; Arthropoda; Insecta; Diptera; Drosophilidae. The transcript is spliced from 2 exons. The record is from RefSeq and is a predicted model, not a curated record.
GCCAUCUUUUAAGGUUUUUUUCGGACAUUUCCUGUGUAACCUCAUUUGAGAGCCUGCCACUGAGGACUUCAUUUGUAGUGGAGGUUCGGCCACCAAGAAAGUCUCGAAACCAAUAUUUCACGGUGUAAUCUGAAGGAGCAUGAGCCGCAUACUGUCAAAACAAAACUAAGGGCUGUAUCGCACUGAAUUUCAACAUGGUUACCUAAAUAUGAAUGGACUAUAAGGAGCGACAAUAAUUUUUGCGGUGGUCAAGGAGGUUACUUUUCAGCCCACCUAAUACACACAUUUCUUUUUAUUAUGAAUAUAUUUGUGAUAACUACGAAUAUCGCAAAUAUUUUCUUCAUUCUGCGGAUGACACACAUUCAUUUUGUAUACCAAAUACUUUGACAUCUUUAUAAUAUAUUAUCUUAUAUGAAC